UCCCAAGGGCCUCGGCCAGGGUAGGAUGGUACACACAUGGGUGGCUGCUUCUGCAUCCCCAGGGAGCGGAGUCUGACCCGGGGCCCAGGUAAAGAAACUCCUUCCAAGGAUCCAACUGUAUCGAGUGAGUGUAUAGCCUCAUCUGAAUACAAGGAAAAAUGUUUUCUGCCACAGAACAUUAAUCCAGACCUGACACUCUCCUUCUGUGUAAAGAGCCGCUCCAGGAGGUGUGUAAAUGGACCCCUACAGGAAGCUGCUCGGAGGCGGCUCUGGGCACUGGAGAAUGAGGACCAGGAGGUGCGCAUGCUGUUUAAGGUGAGCAUGAAGGAAACAGGUGAAUGCUGAGUACUGACUUGUGUCAGUCUGCUACAGGAUCCCCAGCAUCUAAGACAGCAUCUGGAACAAAGUAGGUCCUCGGAAAAAACAUCUAAUAGGUAGACUGAAUGAAUGAAAGAUUCCGUGCACAUUCUCUGCACAGGAGUGGAGAGGAGUGGGCGGGAACUCUGAAUGAGGCAACUUGGAGUUGCUGAGUCAGAGAAAAUUUGGUUUCAAAUAUUCUAUUAGUUGUGAUCUUUGACAAGUUACUUAACCUAUAUAGAAUGGGAGUUGUUAUAAUACCUACCUCAUUAAGUAUACUUUUUUUCUAAUGCGGUAAUUUCAAAUUCUUUUUUUUUACUGUGAUACAAUAUACAUAACAUAAAAUUUUCCAUUUUAAUCACUUUUUAAGUGUAUGAUUCUCUAUGACACUAAGUACAUUCACAACCUAUCCACCUCCAGAACUUUUUCAUCAUCUCAAACUGAAAUUCCAUAUCUAUUAAACAAUAACUCCCAUUAUCCCCAUGUCUCAGCUCCUGGUAACCGCUAAGUAUAUAUUUUUAAAGUACCAAGAUUGCCAAUCAAAAAACAAUACCUUAUAAAUACUUGGGUGAGAGGAGGAAAAAAACAAUAAAGUAAAUAAACCAAUUUCUCAUCUUUCAUAGUAGGUAGAUAAUAUCUUCAUUUGUUAAAACCAAGGAAGAAUGGUAUGAUCAAAUUAUUUACAGUUUAGGAUGUAUUAAGUAGGAGAACUAAAGUCAGAAAUGGAAAAAAAUUGUUUCAACUAGAGGUAGGGAAAGGAUAAUAUUACUUUACAUAAACUAAUAUGUUCUAGUUACUUUUUACAGUUUCUGCAUGAAUCUGGUACAAACUGAAGGAGAAAAGUGUUCUAAAUGUCAUGCAGCAAAAAAAGAUAAUGUCUGGUUUUUCAGGGGGAAAACGAGAUUGUAUGAGUAGAGAGCUUGGCAUUGUGUUUGGUGAUAUGUGUUCCAUAAACAGUAGCUACAUUUUUUUGAAUUUUAUUUUAUUUUUUUAAUAUCUGGAAUUCAGGAACUGGGAGACACUGGCUGCUAUUGGUACUGUAGAUUUUCCUUUAUUUUGAGUCUCAUUUGGUAUGGCAGGAGCAGGGUUGAUUGAGAGAGCUGGUCUGCUGGGCUGAAGCUUGAGUCAGACAUACUUGUGGGCUACAGUUGAGGCCUGGAGUCAGCUAGAUCUGAAAUCUAAUCAAGGCUCCGCAGCUUACUCCCUGAAGGUGACCUUGGACAAUUUACUUAACCUCACUGUGCCUUGGCCCCCUUGAAUAUGCAACAGGGAUAAUGCCAUUUGUCAUUAGAUCUAAGAUGCCAUUGAUUAUAAAAUGCACUGUUAUUUUAUGUACUUCCAAGAAAGAAAACAAAUGCUGCCGAUUAUAGUUGAUGACAUACUUCCUUAUCUUUUAGUUCAGAAGUGGUUAAAUGUGAUAAAAGCACAUUUUGGAAUGGCCCAAAUACUGUCAUUGCAUUCUCUUCAUAGCGCUUUUGUGGGAGUUAAAUGACAUAUUGCUCAUAAAGCUCUGGGUGAAGUGCCAGGGAUGUAGUAAAUUCUCUGUAAGUUGAUUUUUACCUAGCACCCCUUCCCUAAUGAUGGAUCUGGGGCCUCCUGGGGUUUGGUAUGGCAGAAGGAACCCCAGAGUUCUGAUUUUACUGAACUGGGGCUUUUCUUCUGGAUUCUUCUAUCUUCUUCUUCCUCUAAGUUUCCCUCAUGAUAGAGCUCCUGGAGUUGGUACUGAUGACAGGACCUGGCCUGGUGGAGGGAUGUUCUGACCAUCACUUGUUACAUUCAACUCCGGAGGCUUGGACAAACAACAGAUUUAAGGGAAAACUAAGUCUGGGCAGUGAUUCAGACCUGCUUUUUUUUUAGGUAUUAAAAAAAAACCAGGCCGGGUGCGGUGGCUCACGCCUGUAAUCCCAGCACUUUGGGAGGCCAAGGUGGGUGGAUCACGAGGUCAAGAGAUCGAGACCAUCCUGGCCAACAUGGUGAAACCCCAUCUCUAUUAAAAUACAAAAAAUUAGCCAAGCGUGGUGGCGGGUGCCUGUAGUCCCAGCUACUCGAGAGGCUGAGGCAGGGGAAUCGCUUGAACCCGGGAGGCGGAGGUUGCAGUGAGCCGAGAUUGCGCCACUGCACUGCACUCCAGCCUGGCGACACAGCGAGACUCCGUCUAAAAAAACAAAACAAAAGAAAACAAAAAAACCCCCAAGAGGCUUAUAGUCUUCCUGUCGCUCUCCUUGUGAGCAUGUAAAUUGGAAAGCCUUCCUGGGGGACAGUUGGGUGACUGCAUUUUAGGAUUGAAAAUGUGCAUAUCCUUGCAUUUCCAAUUGCACCUCUUAGAAAUACAUGUGUUAAAACAAUUAAGAAUGUGCACAAAGAUUUAGCUAUAAAGAUGUUUAUCACAGUACCAUUUAGGAUUUUAAAAAAUGUAAAACAAUCCAAACAUGAAAGCAUAAGAAAAUGAUAAUAAUUCAUUAUGUUAAUGCAACAAUGGCACAUGUAACCAUUAAGAAUGGUGUAAACUUUGUGAUGACAUAGAAGAUGCUUUGCAAAAUAUUGCUUAGCAGCAAAAGAAGAUUGCAAAAUAAUUUAUGCAAUGUGAUUCUAUAUAUGUGAAAUAGUUAUAUGGAAACUUGUGUAGGAAAAAGGAUUCAAAUUUAUUACGUGAAGGUGUUAACACUGAUGAUCUUUAGGAGUAGGGACUAGGGAUGAUUAUUUUUGUGGGUUUUGGUUUUUCUGUUUUCAGCUUUGUAUUAAUAAAAAUAAUCAUUAGACAUAGACUCACAAUCAAAUUUGCUUUCAAGUUGCCUUCUAUGAAUCAGCGUCCUUUAUCCUCCCACAUACACUUUUUUUUUUAAACACAAAAAGUAGCAUUCUUUGCCCAUAGUUCUAUUCCCUGGCUUCUUUUGCUGCUGCCGCUGUAUAGCAGUAUUAUAUCUGGAGCCUAUAUCAGUACACAAAGAGCUUCUUUCUUCUUUUCUGUGGCUGCAUAAUACAAUAUUUCACUUUAUGGAUAAAUUGUACUCCAUUUUAACCAAUCUCUUAUUGAUGAAUAUUUAAGUUGUUUCCAUUUUUUGGUGAUGUAAAAAUCAAUGCCAUAAUCAAGAAGUUCAUACAGAGUAUUUGGUCUAUAUAAGAGCUUGCUAAUGGGACACUUCUGUCAUCCCAGGCUGACUCAUUGUUUCCUUUACGUAGGACCUCUCAGCAAGGUUGGUCAGUAUCCAGUCUCAGAGGGCCCAGUUUCUCAUCACCUUCAAGACCAUGGAGGAAAUCUGGAAGUUCUCCACCUACCUUAAUUUAGGUAUGGUACAAGGCAAGCAGGUGGAGGAUGACCUCCUCCACAAUUUAGCCAAUUUGUAGGGCUUGACAUGAAGGAAUUGGCCUGGCUCUGGUAAUUAAGAGAAAUAGAGCCUUAAAAAAGAUGGUUAACUUUUGAAAUUUCACAAAGUGCCUCAAACUAAAUCUAAGGCAAAUAUUAACUAUUAUUCUAAAAUGCCAUAUGAAGAAGUUUGCUUUUUUGUGUCCAGGGAAAUCUUUUUUUAUUAGAUAACCAAUCAAUUGGAAAACAGUUAUUGGUCAUCUACUAAGUUCAAAGUACUGAAAUAGAUGUGAACUUGGUGCUAGUGUGUGUGUUUUAAACUAUAGGGAACUAAUCUUGAGUAAGAUCGAAGUAGCUGCUCAACAUAGUCAAUAGCAAAGUUCCAGAUGUUUUAUUGCAUGUAUUUGGAAAAGAGUUAAAGAAAGAAAUAGAGAAAUUAUCUGCUUAUAGCAACCUAAGGCUGCAGUGUUUUCUAGAAGGUAAAGAAGGACAUUGGGAUGCAACAUCAGUUCCACUGUGGUGGGAAAUGGUUCACCUGCCAUCUCCAGACAGAACAACUUAUAAUGGGGAAGUUAAAGUGAAGCCAAACAAAACAACAGGCCACCUAAUUUGAUGGAUGUUUUAUAUCUCCCAGAAAAUGCUGGGCUCCAUGCCGACAUACACAAGGACAGAUUUUGUGCAGGGGUGGAGGGUCAAGACGACUCAUGACUGGAAAACAUAAGGUGUAUCUUCUCCUCUUAUGGUCUGGAGAUCUGAUCUCCACACUACACAUCUCCUUCCUGACCAUCAGACAUCCUCACUAUUCAAACUGUGCUCCAUAGACCGGCUCGUCGGCAGCACAUAGAGUCUGUUAAAAAAAA
Molecule: small RNA, 4521 nt
Filed under: Pan troglodytes (chimpanzee)
Lineage: Eukaryota; Metazoa; Chordata; Mammalia; Primates; Hominidae
Description: retained intron
Source: RNAcentral